Molecule: ribosomal RNA, 497 nt
Filed under: uncultured bacterium
Lineage: Bacteria
Description: partial 16S ribosomal RNA
Rfam family: Bacterial small subunit ribosomal RNA
Source: RNAcentral
GAUGAACGCUGGCGGCGUGCCUAAUACAUGCAAGUCGAGCGAACGGACGAGAAGCUUGCUUCUCUGAUGUUAGCGGCGGACGGGUGAGUAACACGUGGAUAACCUACCUAUAAGACUGGGAUAACUUCGGGACACCGGAGCUAAUACCGGAUAAUAUUUUGAACCGCAUGGUUCAAAAGUGAAAGACGGUCUUGCUGUCACUUAUAGAUGGAUCCGCGCUGCAUUAGCUAGUUGGUAAGGUAACGGCUUACCAAGGCAACGAUGCAUAGCCGACCUGAGAGGGUGAUCGGCCACACGGGAACUGAGACACGGUCCAGACUCCUACGGGAGGCAGCAGUAGGGAAUCUUACGCAAUGGGCGAAAGCCUGACGGAGCAACGCCGCGUGAGUGAUGAAGGUCUUCGGAUCGUAAAACUCUGUUAUUAGGGAAGAACAUAUGUGUAAGUAACUGUGCACAUCUUGACGGUACCUAAUCAGAAAGCCACGGCUAACUACGUG